Molecule: long non-coding RNA, 602 nt
Organism: Myotis brandtii (Brandt's bat)
Lineage: Eukaryota; Metazoa; Chordata; Mammalia; Chiroptera; Vespertilionidae
Exons: 3
Source: RefSeq, a predicted model, not a curated record
AUGGGAGUGGAAUUCAAAACAUUCAAAUUUAGAGUUAAUGUGCGUCACUCUGUUGCGAGUGAUAGGUUCGGUGUUUUUCCAGUGGGAAACUGUGAUCCACAAACUGAUAUAUGCCUGUUGUAGACCUUGUUAUUCCAUUCUGCUUUUCUCCUGAUUGUUGCUUACUCUUUCAAAAACCAGCUGACUUUACAAAUUGUUUCUGGGAGCAGAUUUCAGAGCAAAAGUGAUACAUAAAAGCAGCACCUUAUCGGUCUCACUAAAAUAAUGGAAAAGACAUGCUUUGUAUUGCACUGUAUCAGACUGAGCCCAUUAGCCAAGAAAUGUCAGCAAACCUGCCCCACCAAAGAGCAACAUUCCUCCUUUUCGUGUAUGUAUCUGGGGUAGGAGCAGGGGAGUCAGGGAGGAAAGAGGGUAAAAGACGCUUAUAUGCACCCGUAUUCCCCCUAGGUUCCAGUACUGCACCCAAACAAUUUUUAUUGAGGUGAAGUUGAAAUACAUGUAAAAUAAGCGAUAUUGGCACAUGAUGUCCUGAAUAAUGGAAGUAAUAAUAAAAUACUGACUAGCAUUUAUUGAGUAUGUGCCAGGCACUGUUGUGUUUUGUA